This 346-nucleotide long non-coding RNA is filed under the name Mytilus galloprovincialis (Mediterranean mussel). The record is from RNAcentral. Lineage: Eukaryota; Metazoa; Mollusca; Bivalvia; Mytilida; Mytilidae.
UCACAUUUCACCUGAAAAAGUAUGUAUUGAAAGCCAAACAUCAUUUGGUCAUAAAUAUUUUUUAUUUUCCUACUGUGUAGAUCAAAUGCAAUCUCUCCUGCAGCUAUCGUUAUUGUAUGAACACGAUGUAAAACAAUCCCUCUUGUUAUUACGUUCUUUCGGUUGUUCUCUCUUUCGACCUAUAAGUCCAAUAAGCGCGUCUGUUGUGUCUGAACACUGCUGGAGACACAACUGUAGAAAAAAUGAACAUUGUGAGCAUGUCCUGGUGCUACUGGCUAUACUUGAAUUAAGUAUGAUGAAUACAAAUAUCAUAGGCAUGUAAUGCUUCAUUUUUGUAGGUUCUGUA